Molecule: ribosomal RNA, 417 nt
Filed under: Babesia bigemina
Lineage: Eukaryota; Apicomplexa; Aconoidasida; Piroplasmida; Babesiidae
Description: partial small subunit ribosomal RNA
Rfam family: Eukaryotic small subunit ribosomal RNA
Source: RNAcentral
GUCUGGUGCCAGCAGCCGCGGUAAUUCCAGCUCCAAUAGCGUAUAUUAAACUUGUUGCAGUUAAAAAGCUCGUAGUUGUAUUUCAGCCUCGCGUUUUUUCCCUUUUGUUGGGUCUUUUCGCUGGCUUUUUUUUUACUUUGAGAAAAUUAGAGUGUUUCAAGCAGACUUUUGUCUUGAAUACUUCAGCAUGGAAUAAUAGAGUAGGACCUUGGUUCUAUUUUGUUGGUUUUGAGCCUUGGUAAUGGUUAAUAGGAACGGUUGGGGGCAUUCGUAUUUAACUGUCAGAGGUGAAAUUCUUAGAUUUGUUAAAGACGAACCACUGCGAAAGCAUUUGCCAAGGACGUUUUCAUUAAUCAAGAACGAAAGUUAGGGGAUCGAAGACGAUCAGAUACCGUCGUAGUCCUAACCAUAAACUAA